Molecule: ribosomal RNA, 787 nt
Filed under: uncultured euryarchaeote
Lineage: Archaea; Methanobacteriati; Methanobacteriota
Description: bacterial SSU rRNA
Rfam family: Archaeal small subunit ribosomal RNA
Source: RNAcentral
ACGGCUCAGUAACACGUAGGUAACCUACCCUUCGGACGGGCACAACCCCGGGAAACUGGGGCUAAUUCCCGAUAGGUACCCCUUCUGGAAUGUGGGGAUAUCCAGAGCUCCGGCGCCGAAGGAUGGGCCUGCGGCCGAUUAGGUUGUUGGCGGGGUAACAGCCCACCAAGCCGACGAUCGGUACGGGCAGUGAGAGCUGUAGCCCGGAGAUGGGGACUGAGACAAGGCCCCAGGCCCUACGGGGCGCAGCAGGCGCGAAACCUUCACAAUGCACGAAAGUGUGAUGAGGGUACUCCGAGUGCGCAUACAUUGUAUGUGCUUUUCUGCAGCGUAAAUAGUUGCAGGAAUAAGGGCUGGGCAAGACCGGUGCCAGCCGCCGCGGUAACACCGGCAGCCCUAGUGGUGGCCGCUUUUAUUGGGCCUAAAGCGUCCGUAGCCGGACAGGCGAGUCUUUGGGUAAAUCCUACGUCUUAAGCGUGGGAAUUCUAAAGAUACUACCUGUCUUGAGGCCGGGAGAGGCUGGAGGUACUCCUGGGGUAGGGGUAAAAUCCUAUAAUCCUGGGGGGACCACCGAUGGCGAAGGCAUCCAGCUGGAACGGGCCUGACGGUGAGGGACGAAACCCAGGGGAGCGAGCCGGAUUAGAUACCCGGGUAGUCCUGGGCGUAAAUGAUGUGGGCUUGGUGUGAGCGCAUCGACGAGGUGCGCUUGUGCCGUAGGGAAGCCGUUAAGCCCACCGCCUGGGGAGUACGGUCGCAAGGCUGAAACUUAAAGGAAUUGGCGGGGGAG